AGUGAACGCUGGCGGUAGGCCUAACACAUGCAAGUCGAACGGCAGCACAGUAAGAGCUUGCUCUUACGGGUGGCGAGUGGCGGACGGGUGAGGAAUACAUCGGGAUCUACUUUUUCGUGGGGGAUAACGUAGGGAAACUUACGCUAAUACCGCAUACGACCUACGGGUGAAAGCAGGGGAUCUUCGGACCUUGCGCGAUUGAAUGGGCCGAUGUCGGAUUAGCUAGUUGGCGGGGUAAAGGCCCACCAAGGCGACGAUCCGUAGCUGGUCUGAGAGGAUGAUCAGCCACACUGGAACUGAGACACGGUCCAGACUCCUACGGGAGGCAGCAGUGGGGAAUAUUGGACAAUGGGCGCAAGCCUGAUCCAGCCAUACCGCGUGGGUGAAGAAGGCCUUCGGGUUGUAAAGCCCUUUUGUUGGGAAAGAAAAGCAGCAGGUUAAUACCCCGCUGUUCUGACGGUACCCAAAGAAUAAGCACCGGCUAACUUCGUG
RNAcentral lists this ribosomal RNA (492 nucleotides) under uncultured bacterium. RNAcentral's name for it is "partial 16S ribosomal RNA". It matches the Rfam family "Bacterial small subunit ribosomal RNA", at positions 29 to 507 of the family's 1533-position model. The record is from RNAcentral.